RNAcentral lists this ribosomal RNA (661 nucleotides) under uncultured fungus. RNAcentral's name for it is "eukaryotic LSU rRNA". The stretch from base 305 to 455 matches the Rfam family "5.8S ribosomal RNA". Lineage: Eukaryota; Fungi. The record is from RNAcentral.
CGACCCUUCUUGGUCAUUUAGAGGAAGUAAAAGUCGUAACAAGGUUUCCUAGGUGAACCUGCGGAAGGAUCAUUACUAGAGCAAAGGAUAGACAGCGCCGCGGAGCUCGCUCCCGGGGCUACCCUACUCCCGUAGGGUUUAGAGUCGCGGGCCUCUCGGAGAAGCUCGGUCCUGAACUCCACCCUUGAAUAAACUACUUUGUUGCUUUGGCGGGCCGCCUCGUGCCAGCGGCUUCGGCUGUUGAGGCCCGCCAGAGGACCCCAACUCUUGUUUUUAGUGAUGUCUGAGUACUAUUAAUAGUUAAAACUUUCAACAACGGAUCUCUUGGUUCUGGCAUCGAUGAGAACGCAGCGAAAUGCGAUAAGUAAUGUGAAUUGCAGAAUUCAGUGAAUAUCGAAUCUUUGAACGCACAUUGCGCCCUCUGGUAUUCCGGGGGGCAUGCUGUUCGAGCGUCAUUAUAACCACUCAAGCUCUCGCUUGGAAUUGGGGUCGCGGUUUCGCGGCCCCUAAAAUCAGUGGCGGUGCCUGUCGGCUCUACGGUAGUAAUACUCCUCGCGAUUGAGUCCGGUAGGUCUACUUGCCAGCAACCCUAAUUUUUUUAAGGUUGACCUCGGAUCAGGUAGGGAUACCCGCUGAAUUAAGCAUAUCAAUAAGCGGAGGA